CUCUCUCACCUCCUCCCCGUUCCUCACCUUUCUUCCCCCCGCUCCCUGUGAAAGGCCCUGGGACUUGCCGCACAAGCUGUGUCCCCUGAGGGUGGCCCUCAUUGGUCCUCUCGGCUCCUGCCAGCUGUCCCCAAAUCAGUUCUCCAAAAUACCAUUGGGACACAUACCCAGGCUGCUUGGUGAAAAGACAGCUGCCAGGGCCACACCCGGUCCUUUAAUAUCAGAUGCCAGGCCCAGGAACCUGCAUUUUAAACGCCUGCCCGGGCGAUUCUUGGAAUUAAACAGACGUUGGAGCAAAACAAAACAAAAAGGUCAAAAGAAAAAACAGUGAAAGGUAAGUGUUCCUCCCAUCCCGGACACCCAGGCCCUUCCCCAGGGCAGCGUCCGUUACCGAUUUCUUGUGUGUCCGACCGGAAAGAACCCACGAACGGAAGAGGACGUUCACUCGCAGGCCCCCCCACAGCCCGGCUCUGUUCUGCGGACGGAACAUAUUUCCACUGCUCACUGAGCUUAGCAAUGUCUCCUGCAGGCUGGGCCGGACCUGAGCCCUGGGGGUGGGCUUGCUGGACGCUCCCUCCUGGGAUCACUUUCCAAAUAACCGACUUGUGCCCCCGGGUCACCUCCUGGAGGAACCCGAUCGAAGACGGUCCGUGGCCCGGAGGGACUCACAGCAGAGACUGCCUCAAGCUGACGCCGAAGAACGGAGUGGAGGGCGUCACCCCCUCACUGCUCAGGGAGGUUCCAGGGGCUCAGCCACCUGGCAGGUCGACCUGCCCGUGUCCCUGACGACUACCGACGGGCGCAGGCUGUGACACAGCUGUGUUCUUCCGGGUAGCUAUGUUCUACUAGACAAACAUCGCCCCCAGACAGGAGGGGGGAAGGACGAGGGUGUGGUCAGUGGAAGAACGGAGCAGGCCAGGGAGGCGGAGAUUUUCUGGGGGGCUUCUGAUGAGGGGGGACAGACGCUGUUCCGCGUGGGAGUGACUGGUGGUGAAAGGAGGGCGAUUAAAAACAAGCCGCGGGCGCCUGGGGGGCUCGGUCGGUUGAGCGUGCAACGCUUGGUUUUUCUGCUCAGGUCAUGAUCGCACGGUUCGUGAGAUCAAGCCCCGCAUCAGGCUCAGC
Felis catus (domestic cat) is the source of this 1122-nucleotide long non-coding RNA. RefSeq lists it as uncharacterized. Lineage: Eukaryota; Metazoa; Chordata; Mammalia; Carnivora; Felidae. The transcript is spliced from 3 exons. The record is from RefSeq and is a predicted model, not a curated record.